This is a non-coding RNA of Schizosaccharomyces pombe (fission yeast), 2691 nucleotides long. The record is from the annotation of a GenBank genome assembly. NCBI's taxonomy places the organism in Eukaryota, Fungi, Ascomycota, Schizosaccharomycetes, Schizosaccharomycetales, Schizosaccharomycetaceae.
GGCCUUUACACCACGUUCGCGUGUCUCUUCUCUCUUGUUUCCUUCCCCGGGUAUUCCGCGAUUAGCGCUGGCGAUUCACCAAGGUAAAACUAUGUAUGCGAAUGGUGAGUGGUCUGCUGUAGCACGGUGUGUGCACGAGGAAACAAGGUCUUCUCUUUAAGAACCUCGAACCCGGUAAACAUCGUGGGUGGCAGAGAUAGUAAAAGCGACUAGUUCGCCUACCCCCACAUGAAUUGUCGCAAAGAUGAUGAGGGACGACAACAAGUAGGUAAGGUAAAGUAAAGUAAGAAAGGAAGAAUAGUGAUAGCAUUAAUAGUAGUGGGUAUAACUGUCACGGAAAUGAACAUAUCACACUCCAAAACGGACUUGUUGGUGUAUGAGCAAUUUUUCGCACCCAUUUUCCCUCAUUUUGCCAAAUGAAACCAUAAUGCUGCAAGAUUGCUGAAAGUAUCGGGAAAGCCUAGUAAGAAAUGGUCCAACUCGUUAUGCAGCGAUACCCUACCCUCCGUCAAGCAAACGAGAUGGUUGUGUAAGGCGAGGCACAAGACUUCAAAAAGUAUGCAAAUUAGCAACAGAUAGUAUACCCUAAAUUCCAAACGAUAUCUUCUAUCACAGAAUCAGAUUUCUUAUAGUAAGUUCAUGAUAACUUUGAAGAAACUUGAGUUUGAUAGCAUUAGUAAAUAAAUCCCCAAUAACGAAGGAGUAUGCAAUGUCACAUCGAUAUCUAUGCUUCUAGCAUUGCUGAUUCUGACUUGACUUUUCUAUCUCGUCGUCGGUGCACAAGUUGAUACUACUUUGGCAGAUGUUUCUCCUUUGAAUUUAUGAACUUUUAAACAAAUUGCUUUUUGUUUCUAUGCCCAUUCCUUAUCAAUUGAAAAGGAGAGAGGAGAGAAAAGGAAAAAAAAAAUUUGACCUCUUUUUGGUUUUUUGGUUUUUUUUUUUUUUUUUCGCUCUCUAAAACUUAUCUACCACACCUCUUCGUCAUGUAAUUUGAACUAUACUUUUCACGUUAAAAACCUUUUCCCCCUUUGAUUCCGUCGAAAGUUUCACGGAACCAAUGUUUCCAGUGUUUUCAUAGAGUUAACAAUGCAUGUUUACCUACUAGUUGGAAAAAAUUCGCAACACUUGUUACUAAGUGCUAUAAACUGAACAUUGCAUUUUUCUAUAUUUUUUGCAUGUUAAUUAUUUAUUUCAUUGAGCCGUCCAUAAUGCUUGUUUUCUUUGCGCCUACUUAACAUCAAGUCGUUCUCGUCUUAUCAAUUGAUCCUUCUGCUAAUAGAUUUUUUAAAGUAACAAACGUCUAUAGAGACGCGCAUUAUGAAGUCCAACAAGUAUCGCUAGUUUAAUGAUAAGUAAGGAAGGGUUUCAUUUACGAAUUGUCUUCUUUCAAACAUAGGUUACUGUUUCCUUCUUUGAUAUUCGGGUACCUGCAUAUCACCCAUAUGUAUUUCCUAUUUCCGUUGAUAAAAUGUCAUAUCACUUAAUUUUCUCUUCUCGUCAUUUUUUAUUCCGACCCUUGUUUUUAUCGAACAUUCGUUAAAUCUAUAGAUAAACUCCAACGACCGCGUAUUGUGUUGGGCAAAUUUGCUUAACCCCUUGCUCUGUCUCUUCCGACUUCUUCUUUCCUUCUCUAUCCAUCCUAUCUUACUAUCAUAUCAUUGAAAUGUCUCGUGUCCGUGUAGGCGAGAAUGACGGACGGACAUCCUCAGAUCAGAUAUAGAGUCCAUCUCUUACGGAAUACUUUAAUAAUGUAAUAACGUGUAACUUAAUGGUUGUUUACUAGUUAUAGCGUGACCUGUCGUACCUUUUUUAUUUAUCAAAAGUUAUUUUGUUUGUUCUAGUCAUUAUGUGCUGCUAUUCAUUGAAGCUCUACGAUAUUGAGGGAACAGGAACGUUGCUGGGCUGAGAGGUCGCAUACUUCAUGAACGCUCCAAACACCCCCAAGUAGCCUUCAUGUCUUAAAAAAUAUGCAUUCAUGGUAUGGUUGCUCCAAUACUGAAUGGCAUAUGUCAACGUGUGCAUAGUUUGAACGUGGUUGCGGAUGAAGCUGCCGCCAAAGUAGAUGUUUUGAACAUUGUGCUUUUGCGCGUGCAAAUAAGCAAUUUGCCCAAUGUUGUUGCUAAUGGCCAGUAGUAAAGACCUGGAAAUAUCCUGAGGCGCAAACUCUUCCAACGGUUUUCUUUCACGAAACACUUUUCCAAAUGAACUAGCAAUAGUGGUGCUUUUUAGUCCAAAUCGUUCGUAGCCGAUAUCCUUUCCAUAAAUAUCUCCUACAAGCAUAUCCACACUUGUGUUAUCUCCUCCCUUGGACAACUCUAACAUCUCGUCAAACGAGUUUGCUGGUGUCAACAACGACAACAAUCCCCAAAGCGUUCCCCCUCCUAAAGACGAACCACCAAUUCGUUCAAACUGUGAUGGACCAGUAACCUUAAGAAUGCUGACACCCGACCCAAUGUUGACAAGCAUGUGCGGGUAAUGAUAGCAAUUCAGAUGGUUUUGAAAUGUUAAUUCGCACGUAUCCAAGUCCAACACAAAAACUUCUCUUGGUAUACACGAAACAAAAUAGUUAAGGCCCAUAAUCAAACAUUCCAUCUCAUCUUCUCUAAUAACCUUGAUGUCCAAUUGUUUAGACAUCCUAUCGUAGAAUUUAUAUGCCCCACCGCCAGUAGCUAUCAAUGUAAUCUUUUUUUU